CAGCGACCGCAGCCGGGGGGACGCGGGAGGAUGGAGCAAGUGGAGAUCCUGAGGAAAUUCAUCCAGAGGGUCCAGGCCAUGAAGAGUCCUGACCACAAUGGGGAGGACAACUUCGCCCGGGACUUCAUGCGGUUAAGAAGAUUGUCUACCAAAUAUAGAACAGAAAAGAUAUAUCCCACAGCCACUGGAGAAAAAGAAGAAAAUGUUAAAAAGAACAGAUACAAGGACAUACUGCCAUUUGAUCACAGCCGAGUUAAAUUGACAUUAAAGACUCCUUCACAAGAUUCAGACUAUAUCAAUGCAAAUUUUAUAAAGGGCGUCUAUGGGCCAAAAGCAUAUGUAGCAACUCAAGGACCUUUAGCAAAUACAGUAAUAGAUUUUUGGAGGAUGAUAUGGGAGUAUAAUGUUGUGGUAAGUAAUUUACUUUUCACAAUAAAUUUUGAGAAAUACUUAUGUAAUGACAUAGGCUAUUUUACUGAAUAAGGAAUGAGGGGAUUUUUUAAAAAUCCAUAAUUAUGUUUACUUAUUGCUGAUGUUUACUAAAAAGAUGGACCCAUUUUUAGGAUGUCUCAUUAAAUUUUU
Molecule: small RNA, 582 nt
Filed under: Pan troglodytes (chimpanzee)
Lineage: Eukaryota; Metazoa; Chordata; Mammalia; Primates; Hominidae
Description: retained intron
Source: RNAcentral